UACCUAGAGUUUGUAGACUUCGGUCUGCUACCUCUUACCCAUGUCUUUUGAGUACCUUCGUUUCCUCGGCGGGUCCGCCCGCCGAUUGGACAACAUUCAAACCCUUUGCAGUUGCAAUCAGCGUCUGAAAAAACAUAAUAGUUACAACUUUCAACAACGGAUCUCUUGGUUCUGGCAUCGAUGAAGAACGCAGCGAAAUGCGAUAAGUAGUGUGAAUUGCAGAAUUCAGUGAAUCAUCGAAUCUUUGAACGCACAUUGCGCCCCUUGGUAUUCCAUGGGGCAUGCCUGUUCGAGCGUCAUUUGUACCUUCAAGCUCUGCUUGGUGUUGGGUGUUUGUCUCGCCUCUGCGUGUAGACUCGCCUUAAAACAAUUGGCAGCCGGCGUAUUGAUUUCGGAGCGCAGUACAUCUCGCGCUUUGCACUCAUAACGACGACGUCCAAAAGUACAUUUUUACACUCUUGACCUCGGAUCAGGUAGGGAUACCCGCUGAACUUAAGCAUAUCA
Molecule: ribosomal RNA, 504 nt
Filed under: uncultured fungus
Lineage: Eukaryota; Fungi
Description: eukaryotic LSU rRNA
Rfam family: 5.8S ribosomal RNA (bases 146-299)
Source: RNAcentral